This is a long non-coding RNA of Drosophila willistoni, 493 nucleotides long. RefSeq lists it as uncharacterized. The transcript is spliced from 4 exons. The record is from RefSeq and is a predicted model, not a curated record. NCBI's taxonomy places the organism in Eukaryota, Metazoa, Arthropoda, Insecta, Diptera, Drosophilidae.
CAACUAAGAGGAUUCCUUUUAUAAUGCCCCAUCAAGAUGUAUCCCUUGGACGAAUUCGGUCAGCCAGGAACAGCUGACUUGAUUUCUUCAUCCAAAUUAGCCAUAUUGUAAAAUUAAACCCUAGAACCUAAAGCCGCUUAAUCAGCUUCGAAAUGAAAUGCCAUCAUAUAUGUAUACGUCUGCCCCCAAUGUCAUCUUCUCAUCCUCAUCCACAUGCUCGUCAUCAUCAUAGUCAUCAUCGUCAUCAUCAUGCCUCAAAUGCAGCAAUUUUAAUGAAACAGAGAGAAUAUGUUAAUUGCGUGUGAAACCGCUGCGUCGAGUUGCCACUUGCCAUACAUAUACAGUACAGAGCAAGGCAAAACAGAAGCAACAUGAAUGGGAGUUUCUAUGGAAUUGGCUUGCUUCUGAUGGCUUAUCAUAAACAAAAUCGCCUUGACCCAAUGCAACAUGUGUGUACGGUGAUUUGCUUCUUUUUCAUUUCUCAAAAGCCUUU